AUUGAACGCUGGCGGCAGGCCUAACACAUGCAAGUCGAGCGGAUGAAGGGAGCUUGCUCCUGGAUUCAGCGGCGGACGGGUGAGUAAUGCCUAGGAAUCUGCCUGGUAGUGGGGGAUAACGUCCGGAAGCGGGCGCUAAUACCGCAUACGUCCUGAGGGAGAAAGUGGGGGAUCUUCGGACCUCACGCUAUCAGAUGAGCCUAGGUCGGAUUAGCUAGUUGGUGGGGUAAAGGCCUACCAAGGCGACGAUCCGUAACUGGUCUGAGAGGAUGAUCAGUCACACUGGAACUGAGACACGGUCCAGACUCCUACGGGAGGCAGCAGUGGGGAAUAUUGGACAAUGGGCGAAAGCCUGAUCCAGCCAUGCCGCGUGUGUGAAGAAGGUCUUCGGAUUGUAAAGCACUUUAAGUUGGGAGGAAGGGCAGUAAGUUAAUACCUUGCUGUUUUGACGUUACCAACAGAAUAAGCACCGGCUAACCUCGUG
Molecule: ribosomal RNA, 484 nt
Filed under: uncultured bacterium
Lineage: Bacteria
Description: partial 16S ribosomal RNA
Rfam family: Bacterial small subunit ribosomal RNA
Source: RNAcentral